RNAcentral lists this long non-coding RNA (557 nucleotides) under Homo sapiens (human). RNAcentral describes it as "HSALNT0345559". The record is from RNAcentral. Lineage: Eukaryota; Metazoa; Chordata; Mammalia; Primates; Hominidae.
ACGUGCCUCCCAUCCCCACAUCUGAGCACAGCCCUUGCACGGAUUGAGGGUGAGUCCAGAUAUGAAGGCUUGCUGGUAAAGAAAUUUCCAGGACGAGAUGUCUGCAGCAAGCAGUCCACCCUCCAUUAAGAACCUCUGAGGACAUCAAGAAAAUACAGAAAUGGAGAAACUCUGGAAUGGGAAUGGGAAGAAGGCUACGGUUUUGCCCUGAGUGAGAGCCUUGGCUUUUCCUUCCACGGAUUUGGCUGCAGAUCCAGAGAGAUGGGAGCAGGAGGCUUCUGAGGAGAGCUGAAGCCACCAACUGUUCUGGAAGCCCUGGUUUUAGGAGUGGUAAACAAAGAGAAAAGGAGAUAGGUUGUCAGCCCAGCUUCAGAAUGAAGAUCUUGGGGAAGGACUCCAAGAGGCUGGACAUGGACAAUGUGCUUUAUCCUCGACCAGCAUCACAGCCAAAGACCAGGAUGAGUCAAGCAGUGCCUCUGAUUAUGAGCGCACCCUCAAGUUCGCCCAAAGUGCAGUGUGGAGGGAGGAUUCCUGAAUUUGGAGGCCUCAGUGGGAAC